Molecule: long non-coding RNA, 504 nt
Filed under: Homo sapiens (human)
Lineage: Eukaryota; Metazoa; Chordata; Mammalia; Primates; Hominidae
Description: non-protein coding lnc-CD200-1:2
Source: RNAcentral
CAACAUUUCUGGUGAGUCAGCCAGGAGGCCGUGGAGAGGACAGGUUGGCUGUCUCCUUUGCCUGUAGGUGGUCUGGGGCCCCAGCAGUGGGAGACCUGUAACUUCAGGCACCACUGGAAGAACUUAAGCCCAGAGAAGGAAACGGCUCUUCCACUCCCCAGCGCCCCUCCCCAGAUGGUGCAUCAGAACCUGGAGGGUUGCAGGACAAUCUCAAGAGCAGCAGGCAGACAUCUGAACCGUGUUUCAGGAAUCAUGCCUUGGAUUCACCACAGUCGGCUAAAACCAGCAGCCCAGGAUCAGUGGAUCAGUCAAUAAGACCCAGACCGUCCAACCCGGCCAAUCCUGCGACAAGACCACGUAACUAGUAGAAAUAACAGCAGCCCUGCUGUGGCCACUCCGGAGGCUGGCCAGUCUAUGCACGGCAGAAGCUUGAGGAAAACUGUAAGCCCUGCUCUAGUCACACAACUGGAAACUGACUAGUCUACGCAUGGCCAAAGCUUGAGG